This 74-nucleotide transfer RNA is filed under the name bacterium. RNAcentral describes it as "tRNA-Arg". It matches the Rfam family "tRNA". Rfam says of the family: Transfer RNA (tRNA) molecules are approximately 80 nucleotides in length. Their secondary structure includes four short double-helical elements and three loops (D, anti-codon, and T loops). The record is from RNAcentral.
GCGCCCAUAGCUCAAUUGGAUAGAGCACUGGUCUACGAAACCAGUUGUUGGAGGUUCAAAUCCCCCUGGGCGCG